RNAcentral lists this ribosomal RNA (448 nucleotides) under uncultured bacterium. RNAcentral describes it as "bacterial SSU rRNA". It matches the Rfam family "Bacterial small subunit ribosomal RNA", at positions 329 to 794 of the family's 1533-position model. The record is from RNAcentral.
UUCCAGACUCCUACGGGAGGCAGCAGUGGGGAAUAUUGGACAAUGGGGGGAACCCUGAUCCAGCGACGCCGCGUGAGUGAAGAAGUAUUUCGGUAUGUAAAGCUCUAUCAGCAGGGAAGAAGAUGACGGUACCUGACUAAGAAGCCCCGGCUAACUACGUGCCAGCAGCCGCGGUAAUACGUAGGGGGCAAGCGUUAUCCGGAUUUACUGGGUGUAAAGGGAGCGUAGACGGCAGGGCAAGUCUGGAGUGAAAGCCCGGGGCCCAACCCCGGGACUGCUUUGGAAACUGCCAUGCUAGAGUGCUGGAGAGGUAAGCGGAAUUCCUAGUGUAGCGGUGAAAUGCGUAGAUAUUAGGAGGAACACCAGUGGCGAAGGCGGCUUACUGGACAGUAACUGACGUUGAGGCUCGAAAGCGUGGGGAGCAAACGGGAUUAGAUACCCCUGUAAA